GAUGAACGCUGGCGGCGUGCCUAAUACAUGCAAGUCGAGCGAACAGACGAGGAGCUUGCUCCUCUGACGUCAGCGGCGGACGGGUGAGUCACACGUGGAUAACCUACCUCUCAGACUGGGAUAAUUUCGGGAAACCGGAGCUAAUACCGGAUAAUAUAUUGAACUGCAUGGUUCCAUAGUGAAAGUCGGUUUUGCUGUCACUUAUAGAUGGAUCCGCGCCGCAUUAGCUAGUUGGUAAGGUAACGGCUUACCAAGGCAACGAGGCGUAGCCGACCUGAGAGGGUGAUCGGCCACACUGGAACUGAGACACGGUCCAGACUCCUACGGGAGGCAGCAGUAGGGAAUCUUCCGCAAUGGGCGAAAGCCUGACGGAGCAACGCCGCGUGAGUGAUGAAGGUCUUCGGAUCGUAAAACUCUGUUAUUAGGGAAGAACAAAUGUGUAAGUAACUAUGCACGUCUUGACGGUACCUAAUCAGAAAGCCACGGCUAACUACGUG
RNAcentral lists this ribosomal RNA (497 nucleotides) under uncultured bacterium. RNAcentral describes it as "partial 16S ribosomal RNA". It matches the Rfam family "Bacterial small subunit ribosomal RNA", at positions 28 to 507 of the family's 1533-position model. The record is from RNAcentral.